CCUAUCCUUAUGCAAAAGCUGAGACAGCAACCACCUGUUGGAUGAUUUACAGGCUCUAAGAAGGCCCCUCAGCCCUCAAAUAUUCCCACCCCAACCUGCCACUGGGCUGGGAUUUCCACCAAGAGAGAAAUAACCCUCAGCUUUCAAGCCUUGCCUCUCCACAAGACCUCUGUGAAAAUGUCAACAUGGCAGCACGUUCAAACAUUAUCCAUCAUUUUGGCUCCAGAUGGAAUUAAUUUAUCAGACUACUUUCUACUAUGACAGCCAGCCUCAGGAGCCAUGAAGAAGCUGUGUUUGGAAAAGGGGACUGCAAGAAGCAGAUUGGGGUUUUUCUGAGCCUGCUAUUGAACACGUGAGGAACCUGGGUCUCAAGCAUUUCAUCGUGGCUAACAGAAGAAUCUCUGAAGCCACAGUACCUGGACUCCAGCUCCAGGGCCACUUACCAGCCAUUUGACUUUGGGUACCAGGAGUUAGGAUUUCAAUACAGUGGACACAAUCGAACCCACAAGAGCCUCCCAGAUGGUUUCCAAUGCCAUCUCAGACUCCAACUGCCCUCUUUUCCACCCAGCAUAGAAAGCUUCUGAGCUCCUUCCUCUCCAUUCAAGACAAACUUUCCGCAGUCCACAGUUUAUUAAAACAUGGGGUGAGUUCAUGGAAGUUUUUGGCACAGUUUGGCCAUCUCUCCAAGAGCAAAUUCAGCUUUCUAGCACAAAAGCCACAAGCACAGGGGGUACUGUUCCUCGUUUUCAUUUCAAGCUGCUUAAGUGAUCAUUUAUGGCAGGA
Molecule: long non-coding RNA, 783 nt
Filed under: Equus caballus (horse)
Lineage: Eukaryota; Metazoa; Chordata; Mammalia; Perissodactyla; Equidae
Description: lncRNA (ENSECAG00000055894.1)
Source: RNAcentral